UGUUCCAAAUGAAACAUGAGCUUCUUCUUCUCUUCAUAGCACGAGCUAGUUCUUCCCUCUGUGGCUGCUACUUCUGCUUCUUCCGCCGUUGCCGCUGCUGAGCCGUUGCGUCACAUAAUAUCUCUCUGUCAUCCCUUGCGUCGCACGAGAUCCCUCCGUCGCCGCUCUCGUCGCAUCUACUCCCAUCGUCGCAGAGCUCUCUCUGCCGCCCCUCUCAUCGCAUCUGUUCCCUCUGACUCCUCUUCCAUCUAAGCUCAACCCGCUCUCUCAGUUCUUCUCGUAACCAUCUCAAAUUUCAGGAAUAUAUAUAUCCUGAUUUUGUGAUUCUGUUCUUCGUGAUAAAUCUUAGGGCUCAAUUUUUCUAUGCCAGUUUUAGGUUUUCUCUUAAGAAAGGUGGAAAGGAUGGUGAUGAUGGUACUGAAGAAGUGACUAUUUUAACGUUGGUAGAGAAGUCCAUGUUGUCCACGCUUCAAAGAGCUUCAUUGGUAGAGAAGUCCUGGCAGAAGCCACCGGAGAGGAUGAGGGUUUUAUCUAAUGCACUAAAAACCAGCAACUAUGGUUCUGAACCUAUACUUCAAAAUUGUGGAAUUUCUAUAAGCACCAGCUUUACUCAAGUGGAUGGUCAUGUUCUGCUUUCAACAAGGGAAUUUUUAGCUCUCCAAGCAAGUUCUCCAACCAAACAAGCUCAGCUUCACAUGAUAUACAUUUUCUUGUAUGCGACUAUAACAAAAUCAAAGUUUGAAGUGCUGUCGUCUGAGUCUCGGAAUAUUGCUCUGGAUCUUUGCUUGGUAAUAUCAGUAGCAGCAAUAUGACUAUGGUAGUUUCAACUGACCCUGCUCACUCCUUAAGUGACUCUUUUGCUCAGGUACCUAACGAGACCAAGAAAAAUCUCUUGAUUGUUUAGUUUAGUAGUUGUUCAAUAUGGAUAAAACUUCAGAAGUGUAAUGCUACAAUCUUGUUAGUAGUUCUUCAAUAUGGAUAAAACUUCACUGCAAUAAGUCUAUUUAUAAUCAUGCAUGAAUUUAAUAAGAAUCAUAUCCAAAGGUAAAACAAGCAAGGUUUGAGAUAAAUAAAUUUAGAGCUAUAGUAAUUCCAUCAUUCAAGUAUCUACUCUAUUAGUAUCUUAUGAGAAGGAAGUUGAGAGAGAAACUGCAAAAACUGCUGACAUGAAGGAGAAGGGUGCUGACCCUUAUGAUCUCAAGCAGCAGGUAUCUAAUUUCAAUUUAAGCUACAAAAAUAAGGGAAUUUGUAAAUUCUAAAUUCUAACUGCAUAAGCUCAUUUUUUCAGUUAUGUCUUUGUCUACAAUUCUUUUUGACUCAGUUGCAUAUAAGAGUCCUUUUAGUAGAGACAUGGAUUCAAAUAAGCAUUGCCAGUAAACUGUGAUAUCAUUCAAUUUUUCACUUAGCUUUCAAGAUUUUUUGUUGUCUACUUAUCAAGGAUGAAUUCAUAAAAUUUUCUUUCACACCUUGGUGUUGCUUUUAAAUGUUUAGGGCAUCAGCUUUAUUUAUUGGAGUUUAUGAACCUAUGAAGCAGAAACUGUUGAGGAUGUUUUCUGAAAACCUGAGUGCUUUUGCUCAUCUGAUGAUUCCAUGUUAUGUACUGUAAUCCGCAUGCAAAUCAGUAAGAAUAUCUAGUUUUUCACACAGACAAUUAAAGCUAUGGAGCCAUUUUUCACUGUUGUUCUUUCCUCCCUCUUCCUUGGUGAGUAGUUUCUUCUCUUGUACCGAUAGUAGGAGUAGCACUGGCAUCAAUGACUGAAGUCUCCUUCAAUUGGAUUAGCUUUGCUACUGCUAUGGCAUCUAACCUUACUAACCAGUCGCGGAACGUUUUGAGCAAAAAACUCAUGGUCAAUGAAGAGUUUGAAGAAUCGUUGGUGGAGCUGCUACAAAAUCUCGCAGACAUAUAUAUUACAUUCCAAGGUUGAAGAUUAACAAUCAGCACAAUGUUGAUGAGUAAGCACUUGUUGUGAAUUGAUGAGUAAGCACUUGUUGAUGAGUAACCAAUUGAGUAAUCAUAGAGCUUUGUAAACUGAGUGCACAUUCGUUGGCUGAAAAUGUAAUUGAUCAUUUUCCUUGUGCAAGUCCCUUUUGCACGGUCUUCACUGAACCAUGAUGAUGUAUUCAUCCUAGACUCACAGAAUAAGAUUUAUCAAUUCAAUGGAGCUAAUUCAAAUAUUCAGGAAAGAGCCAAGACUUUGGAAGUUAUCCAGUAUGUGAAGGAAAAGUAUCAUGAAGGGAAGUGUAAUGUUGCCAUUGUUGAUGAUGGAAAGUUGGACACUGAGUCAGACAGGUGAAUUUUGGGUUAUCUUUGGUGGUUUUGCUCCAGUUCGAAAGAAAGUAGUUAGUGAUGAUGAUAUCAUUCCUUAGACAACUCCUGCACAACUCUUUAGUCACGGGAUAGAUUGAAUGGGCUGAAUCAAGGAGGGCCAAGACAAAGAGCAGAAGCUUUGGCUGCUUUAAACUCUGCAUUUAAAUCAUCAUCCGGAACCAAAAGUUCUAGCCCUAAGACAACUGGAAGAAGUCAAGGAUCACAAAGAGCAGCAGCAGUAGCUGCUCUCUCUCAAGUUCUUACUACUGAGAAGAAGAAACAAUCACCUUAUUCUUCUCCUGUGGCAACCAGAAGUCCUGUUGUAGAAACUAGCACUUCCGGUGAGAAAUAUAGCUCUUAUUGUCCAAGUUAAAUGUGUCACAAAAGAAAGAUUAGCUAUUAUGAGAAGGUUAGAGCGUCAAGUAGUUCUAGUGCAGUUUCACUACCACCGCCGCCGCCGCCACCCUCAAUGUCUUCGGAUGAGGGCUAUGAUGAUGAUGAGGAUGAAGAUGACACUGAAGACUAUAGCUGAUAGUUUUAGUAUGGUUGAACAAUAUACUAGGAAUUAUAGUUGAUGAUCAAUACAUUUUGUUUAUGUUUUGAAUUAUAUUGACUUUGCUUGUUUAUAAUACUUUUCUUUUAGUUUGAUAAUACGAUGAAUUUG
Arachis stenosperma is the source of this 2972-nucleotide long non-coding RNA. RefSeq lists it as uncharacterized. The transcript is spliced from 13 exons. The record is from RefSeq and is a predicted model, not a curated record. NCBI's taxonomy places the organism in Eukaryota, Viridiplantae, Streptophyta, Magnoliopsida, Fabales, Fabaceae.